UGGGGAAUCUUCCGCAAUGGACGAAAGUCUGACGGAGCAACGCCGCGUGAGUGAUGACGGUCUUCGGAUUGUAAAGCUCUGUUAAUCGGGACGAAUGGCUUGUGUGCAAAUAGUGCAUAGACAUGACGGUACCGGAAUAGAAAGCCACGGCUAACUACGUGCCAGCAGCCGCGGUAAUACGUAGGUGGCAAGCGUUGUCCGGAAUUAUUGGGCGUAAAGCGCGCGCAGGCGGACUAGCCAGUCAGUCUUAAAAGUUCGGGGCUUAACCCCGUGAUGGGAUUGAAACUACUAGUCUAGAGUAUCGGAGAGGAAAGUGGAAUUCCUAGUGUAGCGGUGAAAUGCGUAGAUAUUAGGAAGAACACCAGUGGCGAAGGCGACUUUCUGGACGAACACUGACGCUGAGGCGCGAAAGCCAGGGGAGCGAACGGG
This 429-nucleotide ribosomal RNA is filed under the name Verrucomicrobiota bacterium. RNAcentral describes it as "Verrucomicrobia bacterium partial 16S ribosomal RNA". It matches the Rfam family "Bacterial small subunit ribosomal RNA", at positions 355 to 776 of the family's 1533-position model. Lineage: Bacteria; Pseudomonadati; Verrucomicrobiota. The record is from RNAcentral.